AACGAACGCUGGCGGCAGGCCUAACACAUGCAAGUCGAGCGAGGACUUCGGUUCUAGCGGCGGACGGGUGAGUAACGCGUGGGAAUGUGCCCUUCUCUACGGAAUAGCCCUGGGAAACUGGGAGUAAUACCGUAUACGCCCUUUUGGGGAAAGAUUUAUCGGAGAAGGAUCAGCCCGCGUUGGAUUAGGUAGUUGGUGGGGUAAUGGCCUACCAAGCCGACGAUCCAUAGCUGGUUUGAGAGGAUGAUCAGCCACACUGGGACUGAGACACGGCCCAGACUCCUACGGGAGGCAGCUGUGGGGAAUCUUAGACAAUGGGGGCAACCCUGAUCUAGCCAUGCCGCGUGAGUGAUGAAGGCCUUAGGGUUGUAAAGCUCUUUCAGCUGGGAAGAUAAUGACGGUACCAGCAGAAGAAGCCCCGGCUAACUCCGUG
This 433-nucleotide ribosomal RNA is filed under the name uncultured bacterium. RNAcentral describes it as "partial 16S ribosomal RNA". It matches the Rfam family "Bacterial small subunit ribosomal RNA", at positions 29 to 507 of the family's 1533-position model. The record is from RNAcentral.